RNAcentral lists this transfer RNA (67 nucleotides) under Marmota marmota marmota (Alpine marmot). It matches the Rfam family "tRNA". From Rfam's summary of the family: Transfer RNA (tRNA) molecules are approximately 80 nucleotides in length. Lineage: Eukaryota; Metazoa; Chordata; Mammalia; Rodentia; Sciuridae. The record is from Rfam by way of RNAcentral. RNAcentral also lists the same sequence under 1 other name.
GGGGUUGUAGCUCAGUGGUAGCACUUGCCUCGAAAGCAUGAGGCAGUAGGUCCGAUCCUCAACACCA